Molecule: non-coding RNA, 103 nt
Organism: Solanum tuberosum (potato)
Lineage: Eukaryota; Viridiplantae; Streptophyta; Magnoliopsida; Solanales; Solanaceae
Source: RefSeq, marked provisional
AUAAGCACUUCCGUCUAAUUUUUGAAAGGUGGUCAAGGGAACGAGGUGGUGAAACACAUGUGAAUUGACACAACUUUCAGAAAUUAGACUGAAGUGCUGAUCU